Long non-coding RNA from Phascolarctos cinereus (koala), 237 nucleotides. RefSeq lists it as uncharacterized. Lineage: Eukaryota; Metazoa; Chordata; Mammalia; Diprotodontia; Phascolarctidae. The record is from RefSeq and is a predicted model, not a curated record.
GCUCGGGAUACAUAGGCUAACUAUUUAGCAGAGGGAAGAAGGAAGAACCAGAAAAAGGAGGAGGCCAGGGCACAGUCCUUAAAAGGGAGAAAAUAAGCCCAGAAAAGUGAUAAAGGAUUAGACUAAAAUGGACCAUGAGUGACAUGCUUUAUAUUUCUCCUGAAAUAGGCAACACAGCCCACCUAAGAAGGCCCCACAAAAGCUCAGAGUGUGCCAGGUGGUGCAGUGUACAGUACA